CCUACGGUGGGCUGCAGUGAGGAAUAUUGGUCAAUGGACGCGAGUCUGAACCAGCCAAGUAGCGUGAAGGAUGACUGCCCUAUGGGUUGUAAACUUCUUUUAUAUGGGAAUAAACUCUUCCACGCGUGGCAUUUUGUAUGUACCAUAUGAAUAAGGAUCGGCUAACUCCGUGCCAGCAGCCGCGGUAAUACGGAGGAUCCGAGCGUUAUCCGGAUUUAUUGGGGUUAAAGGGUGCGUAGGUGGAUUGUUAAGUCAGUUGUGAAAGUUUGCGGCUCAACCGUAAAAUUGCAGUUGAAACUGGCAGGCGUGAGUAGAGGAGAGGUGGGCGGAAUGCGUGGUGUAGCGGUGAAAUGCUUAGAGAUCACGAAGAACUCCGAUUGCGAAGGCAGCUCACUGGACUGCAACUGACGCUGAGGCACGAAAGCGUGGGUAUCAAACAGGAUUAGAUACCCGGGUAGUC
Molecule: ribosomal RNA, 460 nt
Filed under: uncultured bacterium
Lineage: Bacteria
Description: partial 16S ribosomal RNA
Rfam family: Bacterial small subunit ribosomal RNA
Source: RNAcentral